CAAGUAAUGAAGUUAAAUUAUCAUCAUUUUAUUAUUUCUAUCCGGAUACAUGUGUUCAUAUUAUUAGCAACAAGACUAUAGACAUGACCUAUAUGGAAACAUAUAAUUAAAGGUCAAAACUGGUCAUUUGUGCUUUAUGGUGUGAUUUAAUAAAUUACUUUAAAACAUCAUAUCAACAUUUUAAAUAAUAAUUAAAUUAUUAUUCUCGAUGACCAACAUUUACCCAGGCAGUAUCAUUUUGAAAUUGUAUUGGGAUUCUUACAAAUUAUCAAAAAAGUACAUUUUAAAUUUGUUUUCUUCCUUCAAUCAAAAAAUGAAAGAAAAAAAUCCAGGCAUCCUAUUCAUAAAUACUAUGUACAAAUUGUCUUACAAUAGGCAAACUUCAUAUAAAAAAAAAUGAUCUGACAGACACUAUUGUCAUUUGUAAUUAACUCAUUAUUAAUCAUUUAUUUAUAUUCUGAUGGUUUUUGCAAUUUUGAAAGUCAUUUGUAAGAGAGAAAAAAAGUGAUGCCAGAUUAUUAUCUUAUAUGCAAAGCCAAAAAAUCUACUUUUUGUUGCCCGGGUUUUAAAUUUGCUGAGUCCCAAAGCUGUUUUUUUUUAUAUGAAACGUUCUUAUAUUUCUAUUAUUUUUAAACACCAAAGAGACUUUUAAUUCAUUUGAUAAAUGUCAUUUUUUAUUCACUCAUUAUUUUUUUAUCAAGAUCGAUUUUACUUGUUGACUUUUAUCUUUGUAAAAUUAUUAUUUUAGAAUAAAAAUACUUGUAUGCGAAUAAUUAUGUAUUUUGUGUUAUUUAUAUAUACGUUCAGUUAUUAAGGAAUAGAGAAAUGUGGGAUAUAUAAAUAUGAGACAGAAUCCCAACAAAAAGACGUCACCAAGACCUGUAUAUGUCAACAUAAGUUUUUGACAAUAGAUAUAUGUGUCUUUACAGUUUGUCAAGCUCGAAAUCAAUCCCAGUCUGUGAUAAAAAUUAACACAAUCAAUUGAAAAUCUGUCAUAAAAAGAAUCUGUCAUCAACAC
This 1018-nucleotide long non-coding RNA is filed under the name Mytilus galloprovincialis (Mediterranean mussel). Lineage: Eukaryota; Metazoa; Mollusca; Bivalvia; Mytilida; Mytilidae. The record is from RNAcentral.